RNAcentral lists this ribosomal RNA (649 nucleotides) under uncultured bacterium. Its description in RNAcentral is "partial 16S ribosomal RNA". The stretch from base 1 to 543 matches the Rfam family "Bacterial small subunit ribosomal RNA", at positions 338 to 873 of the family's 1533-position model. The record is from RNAcentral.
CCUACGGGAGGCAGCAGUAGGGAAUCUUCGGCAAUGGACGAAAGUCUGACCGAGCAACGCCGCGUGAGUGAAGAAGGUUUUCGGAUCGUAAAACUCUGUUGUUAGAGAAGAACAAGGACGUUAGUAACUGAACGUCCCCUGACGGUAUCUAACCAGAAAGCCACGGCUAACUACGUGCCGGCAGCCGCGGUAAUACGUAGGUGGCAAGCGUUGUCCGGAUUUAUUGGGCGUAAAGCGAGCGCAGGCGGUUUCUUAAGUCUGAUGUGAAAGCCCCCGGCUCAACCGGGGAGGGUCAUUGGAAACUGGGAGACUUGAGUGCAGAAGAGGAGAGUGGAAUUCCAUGUGUAGCGGUGAAAUGCGUAGAUAUAUGGAGGAACACCAGUGGCGAAGGCGGCUCUCUGGUCUGUAACUGACGCUGAGGCUCGAAAGCGUGGGGAGCAAACAGGAUUAGAUACCCUGGUAGUCCACGCCGUAAACGAUGAGUGCUAAGUGUUGGAGGGUUUCCGCCUUCAGUGCUGCNGCAACGACAUAGACGACUCCGCCGUCGGGGAGGUACGGACCGGCCGUAAGGUUAGUUAAACGUUACGUAAAGUUAGUUAAGUUAGACGGCGUUGAGACGUUGCCGACGGACGACGACGAGGGGAGGAGG